CCUGUCAUGCGACUGACAGUAGCCUAGGGAGACAUGCGUCGCUGGUAACGGCGGGGUAUGAAGCUCUCCUGACAACGUAGCCCCCGCAAGGGUGCGUCCCUAUCGUGAGAUAGGGGCGUAGAGACUCCGAGCAGCAAUGGGGUCGAGGAG
This 150-nucleotide non-coding RNA is filed under the name Ralstonia sp. 25mfcol4.1. The record is from RNAcentral. Lineage: Bacteria; Pseudomonadati; Pseudomonadota; Betaproteobacteria; Burkholderiales; Burkholderiaceae.